GAUGAACGCUAGCGGGAGGCUUAAUACAUGCAAGUCGAGGGGUAACAGGGGCUUCGGCCCGCUGACGACCGGCGCACGGGUGAGUAACGCGUACGCAACUUACCUCCAAGCGAGGGAUAGCCCUGGGAAACUGGGAUUAAUACCUCAUGUGAUUAUGAUGCCGCAUGGUGUUAUAAUUAAAGUUCAGGCGCUUGGAGAUGGGCGUGCGUCCUAUUAGCUAGUUGGUGAGGUAACGGCUCACCAAGGCGACGAUAGGUAGGGGGCGUGAGAGCGUGGCCCCCCACACGGGUACGUGAGACACGGACCCGACUCCUACGGGAGGCAGCAGUAAAGGAAUAUUGGACGAAUAGGGCGCAAGCCUGAUCCAGCAUCCCGCCGUGCAGGAUGACAGCCCUACGGGUUGUAAACUGC
Molecule: ribosomal RNA, 411 nt
Filed under: uncultured bacterium
Lineage: Bacteria
Description: bacterial SSU rRNA
Rfam family: Bacterial small subunit ribosomal RNA
Source: RNAcentral